RNAcentral lists this unclassified non-coding RNA (117 nucleotides) under Spongillida sp. SNSB-BSPG.GW2354. RNAcentral describes it as "sequence contains 5.8S rRNA gene, ITS2". The record is from RNAcentral. Lineage: Eukaryota; Metazoa; Porifera; Demospongiae; Spongillida.
GCGUCCGUUUCAAUCUGUCGGGACUCUCGAUGCGUCGAAGAGCUCCGGCGAUACGUGAGGCGUCGUCCCGUGGAGGGGCGUCCCUUGAAGUGCGAACCCCCCCCCCCCCCCCCCCCC